This 492-nucleotide ribosomal RNA is filed under the name uncultured bacterium. RNAcentral's name for it is "partial 16S ribosomal RNA". It matches the Rfam family "Bacterial small subunit ribosomal RNA", at positions 29 to 507 of the family's 1533-position model. The record is from RNAcentral.
AGUGAACGCUGGCGGCAGGCCUAACACAUGCAAGUCGAACGGCAGCACAGUAAGAGCUUGCUCUUACGGGUGGCGAGUGGCGGACGGGUGAGGAAUACAUCGGAAUCUACUUUUUCGUGGGGGAUAACGUAGGGAAACUUACGCUAAUACCGCAUACGCCCUACGGGUGAAAGCAGGGGAUCUUCGCACCUUGCGCGAUUGAAUGAGCCGCUGUCGGGUUAGCUAGUUGGCGGGGUAAAGGCCCACCAAGGCGACGAUCCGCAGCUGGACUGAGAGGAUGAUCAGCCACACUGGAACUGAGACACGGUCCAGACUCCUACGGGAGGCAGCAGUGGGGAAUAGUGGACAAUGGGCGGAAGCCUGAUCCAGCCAUACCGCGUGGGUGAAGAAGGCCUUCGGGUUGUAAAGCCCUUUUGUUGGGAAAGAAAAGCAGCAGGUUAAGACCCCGCUGUUCUGACGGUACCCAAAGAAUAAGCACCGGCUAACUUCGUG